RNAcentral lists this ribosomal RNA (301 nucleotides) under uncultured bacterium. Its description in RNAcentral is "partial 16S ribosomal RNA". It matches the Rfam family "Bacterial small subunit ribosomal RNA", at positions 509 to 807 of the family's 1533-position model. The record is from RNAcentral.
CAGUAGCCGCGGUAAAACGUAGGGUGCAAGCGCUAAUCGGAAUUACUGGGCGUAAAGCGUGCGCAGGCGGUGUUGUAAGACUGAUGUGAAAUCCCCGGGCUCAACCUGGGAACUGCAUUGGUGACUGCAACGCUGGAGUGCGGCAGAGGGGGAUGGAAUUCCGCGUGUAGCAGUGAAAUGCGUAGAUAUGCGGAGGAACACCGAUGGCGAAGGCAAUCCCCUGGGCCUGCACUGACGCUCAUGCACGAAAGCGUGGGGAGCAAACAGGAUUAGAUACCCCCGUAGUCCCUGUCUCUUAUAC